GGCAUAGUUCAGUUGGUAGAGCGCCAGAUUGUGGAUCUGGAUGUCCAAGGUUCGAGUCCUUGUG
RNAcentral lists this transfer RNA (64 nucleotides) under bovine gut metagenome. It matches the Rfam family "tRNA", at positions 6 to 65 of the family's 71-position model. Rfam says of the family: Transfer RNA (tRNA) molecules are approximately 80 nucleotides in length. Their secondary structure includes four short double-helical elements and three loops (D, anti-codon, and T loops). The record is from RNAcentral.